AUGGAAACCUCUGGACGACACGGCGCCUCCGGCUGCUACACCCCUCCCGCGGCAGACAGGCUCUGGAGGCAGCGCUCCUCUCCCGCAGCUGUUGUGUCCGCCUUCUUGCCGUGCGGCGGCGACGGUGGCCAGGCGCGAAGAAAGAUCAGGAGCGCGCGUCUGGGUGGGAAGGUCGGGCACCGCAACGGCGAGGAGGCGGAGUUGGGCCCUGCUGCCUUGCCAGGCGGCAUGGGGUUCGCGCGAGCGCUGUGGAUGCAGAUCGUCACCAAGGUGAUGAGCCGGAGGGGUUCCUCCGUGAAGGAGCGGUACGCGCAGGAGGAUUACGAGCAAAACUUCGACGAGGGCGGCGCGGCUGGGGAGCCCGAGAACCUCCCGCGGUCCUUCUCCGCGCGGUACGCCCGCCGGCGUCCUGCUGGGAUGGCGUUCUCGGAUGUAGCUCACCGCCUGCGUUUGCAUCCUGAUUGUGGGUAA
This 471-nucleotide ribosomal RNA is filed under the name Triticum aestivum (bread wheat). Its description in RNAcentral is "partial small subunit ribosomal RNA". Lineage: Eukaryota; Viridiplantae; Streptophyta; Magnoliopsida; Poales; Poaceae. The record is from RNAcentral.